AGCGUAGACGGCAAGGCAAGUCUGAUGUGAAAACCCAGGGCUUAAUCCUGGGACUGCAUUGGAAACUGUCUGGCUCGAGUGCCGGAGAGGUAAGCGGAAUUCCUAGUGUAGCGGUGAAAUGCGUAGAUAUUAGGAAGAACACCAGUGGCGAAGGCGGCUUACUGGACGGUAACUGACGUUGAGGCUCGAAAGCGUGGGGAGCAAACA
This 207-nucleotide ribosomal RNA is filed under the name uncultured bacterium. Its description in RNAcentral is "partial 16S ribosomal RNA". It matches the Rfam family "Bacterial small subunit ribosomal RNA", at positions 568 to 774 of the family's 1533-position model. The record is from RNAcentral.